Molecule: non-coding RNA, 147 nt
Organism: Mesorhizobium sp. SOD10
Lineage: Bacteria; Pseudomonadati; Pseudomonadota; Alphaproteobacteria; Hyphomicrobiales; Phyllobacteriaceae
Source: Rfam
CAUCGGCAGUUUUUCGCCGAAGUCCGGAGUAAGGCCCGUCCCCCGCCUAUCCCGGGCAAACUGCGGCAGCCUAUCCCCCCUCUCCGGGCUGCCGCAACGUUUCGAGUAGAGACCGCCGUGGUUCCCCCUCCACCACGGCGGUUUUCU